This is a long non-coding RNA of Cariama cristata (Red-legged seriema), 755 nucleotides long. RefSeq lists it as uncharacterized. Lineage: Eukaryota; Metazoa; Chordata; Aves; Cariamiformes; Cariamidae. The record is from RefSeq and is a predicted model, not a curated record. The transcript has 5 exons.
UUUUUCCAACUGACAGAUGCUAGUGGUGUGUGUUUGUUGUUUUGGUUUGUUUUGGUUUGUUUUUUCUUUUUCUUUUUUUUUCUUUUAAUUGUCUGAAAUCAGUUUUGACUUCAGCAGGGCCUCACAUGCACUGAUUGCUGCAGCUGUUUCCUGAUACCUGUUUUCUCUAACCUAAAACCAGGUCCCGGUCUAGAUCCCGUUCAAGGUCCCGAGGAAGAAGGUAUUCUCGGUCACGCAGUCGGAGUCGCGGUAGGAGAUCGAGGUCAGCUUCCUAUCGCAGGUCCAGGUCAAUCUCUCCUCGUAGGUAUAGAUCAUUUUCACCCCGCAGAUCUCGGUCUGGUUCUUUAAGGAGAUCAAGAUCUAGAUCCAGGUCACGCUCAAGGUCUCGAUCUGUUGUAUGGCCUCGAAGCAGUCGCUCAAAGUCCAGAUCACCAUCUCCAAAGAGAAGUCACUCACCAUCAGGAAGCCCUUGAAGGAGUGCAAGUCCUGGAAGAAUGGAUUCAAAUUCAAAAAGUUUAAGAAGAAAAUUUAUUUUGUUUACAUUAUUAUAAGGGAUUUUGCAGUGUCUUUAUAAAUGUAAGGGCUUAGUCCUAGAAGGCUGUUUCUAUUGGCUAACAAUUGGCAUGAAUCUGAUCUUUUAAAAGUCUUAAUAGUAGACUAAUGCAAAACUCUUUUGUUGUGUUAAUGUUCUGUGAUCUGGAAAGGUUGGGCUUUUUUUAUUGGCGCAUUGAAAUAAACUGUGCAUUUCUAACUAA